RNAcentral lists this ribosomal RNA (374 nucleotides) under uncultured prokaryote. RNAcentral's name for it is "bacterial SSU rRNA". It matches the Rfam family "Bacterial small subunit ribosomal RNA", at positions 524 to 896 of the family's 1533-position model. The record is from RNAcentral.
AACGUAGGAGGCGAGCGUUAUCCGGAUUUACUGGGCGUAAAGCGUGUGUAGGCGGUACGGCAAGUUGGAUGUGAAAGCUCCUGGCUUAACUAGGAGAGGUCGUUCAAAACUACCGAACUUGAGUUUAUCAGAGGAAGAUGGAAUUCCCGGUGUAGUGGUGAAAUGCGUAGAUAUCGGGAGGAACACCAGUGGCGAAAGCGAUCUUCUGGGAUAAUACUGACGCUCAGACACGAAAGCUAGGGGAGCGAACGGGAUUAGAGACCCCGGUAGUCCUAGCAGUAAACGAUGUAGACUUGGUGUCGGAGGUGUCAAAGCCUUCGGUAUCGAAGCAAACGCGAUAAGUCUACCGCCUGGGGACUACGGCCGCAAGGUUA